RNAcentral lists this ribosomal RNA (405 nucleotides) under uncultured bacterium. RNAcentral's name for it is "bacterial SSU rRNA". It matches the Rfam family "Bacterial small subunit ribosomal RNA", at positions 356 to 773 of the family's 1533-position model. The record is from RNAcentral.
GGGGAAUAUUGCACAAUGGGCGAAAGCCUGAUGCAGCGACGCCGCGUGAGGGAUGAAGGCCUUCGGGUUGUAAACCUCUUUCAGCAGGGAAGAAGCGAGAGUGACGGUACCUGCAGAAGAAGCACCGGCUAACUACGUGCCAGCAGCCGCGGUAAUACGUAGGGUGCGAGCGUUGUCCGGAAUUAUUGGGCGUAAAGAGCUUGUAGGCGGUUUGUCGCGUCUGCUGUGAAAAUCUGGGGCUUAACUCCGGACGUGCAGUGGGUACGGGCAGGCUAGAGUGUGGUAGGGGAGACUGGAAUUCCUGGUGUAGCGGUGAAAUGCGCAGAUAUCAGGAGGAACACCGAUGGCGAAGGCAGGUCUCUGGGCCAUAACUGACGCUGAGAAGCGAAAGCAUGGGUAGCGAAC